AGUGAACGCUGGCGGUAGGCCUAACACAUGCAAGUCGAACGGCAGCACAGUAAGAGCUUGCUCUUACGGGUGGCGAGUGGCGGACGGGUGAGGAAUACAUCGGAAUCUACUUUUUCGUGGGUGAUAACGUAGGGAAACUUACGCUAAUACCGCAUACGACCUACGGGUGAAAGCAGGGGAUCUUCGGACCUUUCGCGAUUGAAUGAGCCGAUGUCGGAUUAGCUAGUUGGCGGGGUAAAGGCCCACCAAGGCGACGAUCCGUAGCUGGUCUGAGAGGAUGAUCAGCCACACUGGAACUGAGACACGGUCCAGACUCCUACGGGAGGCAGCAGUGGGGAAUAUUGGACAAUGGGCGCAAGCCUGAUCCAGCAAUACCGCGUGGGUGAAGAAGGCCUUCGAGUUGUAAAGCCCUUUUGUUGGGAAAGAAAAGCAGCAGGUUAAUACCCCGCUGUUCUGACGGUACCCAAAGAAUAAGCACCGGCUAACUUCGUG
This 492-nucleotide ribosomal RNA is filed under the name uncultured bacterium. RNAcentral describes it as "partial 16S ribosomal RNA". It matches the Rfam family "Bacterial small subunit ribosomal RNA", at positions 29 to 507 of the family's 1533-position model. The record is from RNAcentral.